RNAcentral lists this ribosomal RNA (253 nucleotides) under uncultured bacterium. RNAcentral describes it as "partial 16S ribosomal RNA". It matches the Rfam family "Bacterial small subunit ribosomal RNA", at positions 524 to 776 of the family's 1533-position model. The record is from RNAcentral.
UACGUAGGGGGCAAGCGUUGUCCGGAUUUAUUGGGCGUAAAGAGCGUGUAGGCGGCCAGGUAGGUCUGCUGUGAAAACCCGAGGCUUAACCUCGAGCUGUCGGCGGAAACCAUCUGGCUAGAGUCCGGAAGAGGAGAAUGGAAUUCCCGGUGUAGCGGUGAAAUGCGCAGAUAUCGGGAAGAACACCCGUGGCGAAGGCGGUUCUCUGGGACGGUAUUGACGCUGAGACGCGAAAGCGUGGGGAGCGAACAGG